CCAACAUUUAGGUUUUGAUUGG
This 22-nucleotide non-coding RNA is filed under the name Arabidopsis thaliana (thale cress). Lineage: Eukaryota; Viridiplantae; Streptophyta; Magnoliopsida; Brassicales; Brassicaceae. The record is from RNAcentral.